RNAcentral lists this transfer RNA (69 nucleotides) under Ictidomys tridecemlineatus (thirteen-lined ground squirrel). Its description in RNAcentral is "Spermophilus tridecemlineatus (thirteen-lined ground squirrel) tRNA". It matches the Rfam family "tRNA". Rfam says of the family: Transfer RNA (tRNA) molecules are approximately 80 nucleotides in length. Their secondary structure includes four short double-helical elements and three loops (D, anti-codon, and T loops). Further hydrogen bonds mediate the characteristic L-shaped molecular structure. tRNAs have two regions of fundamental functional importance: the anti-codon, which is responsible for specific mRNA codon recognition, and the 3' end, to which the tRNAs corresponding amino acid is attached (by aminoacyl-tRNA synthetases). tRNAs cope with the degeneracy of the genetic code in two manners: having more than one tRNA (with a specific anti-codon) for a particular amino acid; and 'wobble' base-pairing, i.e. permitting non-standard base-pairing at the 3rd anti-codon position. The record is from Rfam by way of RNAcentral. Lineage: Eukaryota; Metazoa; Chordata; Mammalia; Rodentia; Sciuridae.
GGGGUUGUGGCUCAGCGGUAGAGUGCUUGCCUCCAACGUGCGAGACCCUGGGUUCGAUUCUCAGCACCA